Molecule: ribosomal RNA, 446 nt
Filed under: uncultured fungus
Lineage: Eukaryota; Fungi
Description: eukaryotic LSU rRNA
Rfam family: 5.8S ribosomal RNA (bases 29-182)
Source: RNAcentral
CACAAGUGAAUGUAAAAUUCGAGUUCAAAACUUUCAACAACGGAUCUCUUGGUUCUCGCAUCGAUGAAGGGCGCAGCGAAAUGCGAUAAGUAGUGUGAAUUGCAGAAUUCCGUGAAUCAUCGAGUUCUUGAACGCAUAUUGCGCCUCCAGGCGUUCCUGGAGGCAUGCCUGUUCGAGUGUCAUCAAAUACCCUCAGGAAUGGAUUUUGGAAUUCGCUCCUGGUAUUGAUUGCGUAGCAGGCGGCACCGUUGCCUUUGCUUCCGAUCGAAUUCCAUUGGCGCCAGCUGCGUCUUUCCCUUCGGCAUAAUAGCAUUGUUACCUUGCCGUCGUGAGAUCGGCUGGCUGCCCGCUUCUGUACAUUGUUCGAUUCUAUAACCUCGAAUCAGGCAAGAGCACCCGCUGAACUUAAGCAUAUCAAUAAGCGGAGGAAAUCGAAUUCCCGCGGC